UUACAGGUUGGCCUGUAGUCUGAGACAAUAGUACUGCAGUGGUGGUUCAAUUUAUCCAGGUUUUCUAAUGAUAUGAGUAAAGGACAUCAGCGGAAGUGCUUCAGCCUUUUCAGGUUCUGACCUGGUUUGGGAAAAGUCUCUGCCUUCCAGAUGUUUCCUUAUUGUGAUGUCCCACCAACUCAGAACCCAACAUUCUUUCUACCUUGCACCUGAGCCAUCUCAAAAGGAUGAAAAACCUGAAGUCUCACCAUGCCAUGAUGUAUCCAGAUGAAUUUUAUAUUUGUAUUAAGAUUGUAAAAUGUUUUUAUUAAAUACACACACAGUU
Xenopus tropicalis (tropical clawed frog) is the source of this 325-nucleotide long non-coding RNA. RefSeq lists it as uncharacterized. Lineage: Eukaryota; Metazoa; Chordata; Amphibia; Anura; Pipidae. The transcript has 3 exons. The record is from RefSeq and is a predicted model, not a curated record.